Molecule: ribosomal RNA, 452 nt
Filed under: uncultured bacterium
Lineage: Bacteria
Description: SSU rRNA
Rfam family: Bacterial small subunit ribosomal RNA
Source: RNAcentral
AGAGCGAACGCUGGCGGCAUGCUUAACACAUGCAAGUCGCACGGGCAGGGGUAACUCUGUCAGUGGCGGACGGGUGAGUAACGCGUAGGUAUCUAUCUCUGGGUGGGGGAUAACCGUGGGAAACUACGGCUAAUACCGCAUGACACCUGAGGGUCAAAGGCGCGAGCCGCCUGGAGAGGAGCCUGCGUUCGAUUAGCUUGUUGGUGGGGUAAAGGCCUACCAAGGCGACGAUCGAUAGCUGGUCUGAGAGGAUGAUCAGCCACAUUGGGACUGAGACACGGCCCAAACUCCUACGGGAGGCAGCAGUGGGGAAUAUUGGACAAUGGGCGCAAGCCUGAUCCAGCAAUGCCGCGUGGGUGAAGAAGGUUUUCGGAUUGUAAAGCCCUUUUGGCGGGGACGAUGAUGACGGUACCCGCAGAAUAAGCCCCGGCUAACUUCGUGCCAGCAGCCGC